Molecule: RNase P RNA, 357 nt
Filed under: Anaerolineae bacterium
Lineage: Bacteria; Bacillati; Chloroflexota; Anaerolineae
Description: partial RNase P RNA component class A
Rfam family: Bacterial RNase P class A
About the family: Ribonuclease P (RNase P) is a ubiquitous endoribonuclease, found in archaea, bacteria and eukarya as well as chloroplasts and mitochondria. Its best characterised activity is the generation of mature 5'-ends of tRNAs by cleaving the 5'-leader elements of precursor-tRNAs.
Source: RNAcentral
GCAGUUGGCUGGACGGUCGCGGGCGGGAGACCGCUCGAGGAAAGUCCGAGCUCCGCAGAGCGGGGUGCUGGGUAACACCCAGGCGGGGUGACCCGAUGGAAAGUGCCACAGAGACAUACCACCGCGCACGGCAUGCCGGACGCGGUAAGGGUGAAAAGGUGGUGUAAGAGACCACCGGCACGCCGGGCAACCGGUGUGGCCAGGCAAACCCCACCCGGAGCAAGGCCAAACAGGAGUGGGCCGCGAGGCCGGAGGUAGCUCGCCUCCCAGACUCCAGGUAGGCCGCUAGAGCCGGCGGGAGACUGCCGGCCCAGAUAGAUGACCGUCACCCCUUCGGGGGUACAGAACUCGGCUUAU